Molecule: ribosomal RNA, 879 nt
Filed under: Lobulomycetales sp.
Lineage: Eukaryota; Fungi; Chytridiomycota; Chytridiomycetes; Lobulomycetales
Description: LSU rRNA
Rfam family: Eukaryotic large subunit ribosomal RNA
Source: RNAcentral
AGCGGGAUCAGCUCAAAUUUGAAAUCUCGCAAGUCUCUUGCGCGAAUUGUAGUUUAAAGAAGUAUUUUCGGAGGUGGACCAGGCCCAAGUCCUUUGGGAUAAGGCAUCGUAGAGGGUGAGAAUCCCGUACGGUUUGGCACCAUCUCUAUGUGAUAUACUUUCAAAGAGUCGGGUUGUUUGGGAAUGCAGCCCAAAAUGGGUGGUAAAUACCAUCUAAAGCUAAAUAUUGGCGAGAGACCGAUAGCGAACAAGUACCGUGAGGGAAAGAUGAAAAGAACUUUGAAAAGAGAGUUAAAAGUACGUGAAAUUGUCAAAAGGGAAACACUUGAAACCAGUCUUGCUAGUAGGAUCCCAACUGUUUUCACAAACAGUACAUGUUUCUGCUGGCAGGUCAACAUCGGUUUUGGUUGGAGUACAAAGCCUCUGGAAGGUAGCGACUUGUCGUGUUAUAGCCAGAGGUGCUGCUCUGAGCGAGACCGAGGUAUGCAGUGUAGCCUUGGGAACCCGGCAGCCAAGUGAUGCCCAACUAUGGACAACUUGUUGAUCAUGGCUGGUAUAAGCUUGCUCUGUCGGUUUACCACACCUAUGCUUAGGAUGUUGACAUAAUGGUUUUAAAUGACCCGUCUUGAAACACGGACCAAGGAGUCUAACACAUAUGCGAGUUUUUGGGUGGAAAACCCGGGAAGCGUAAUGAAAGUAUUAAGGUGGGAACCGCAAGGUGCACCAUCGACCGGUCUGGACUUUAUACGAAAGAUCUGAGUAAGAGCAUAUUUGUUAGGACCCGAAAGAUGGUGAACUAUGCCUGAAUAGGGUGAAGCCAGAGGAAACUCUGGUGGAGGCUCGUAGAGAUUCUGACGUGCAAAUCGAUCUUCAAAUUUG